GCCAACCAGACAUGCCCAGGUGUGGUGUGAACCCCACUGCCUGGUUGAGAGUAGCAGCUCCUGUUUUCUGCACUCAAUCUCUCUCCCUUCUUCAAAACCAGCGACCCCCCUUACAAGGAAACACCAUGCCAAGUGAGGGUCUCAACUCAAGGCUGCAGACACCGCCAGCAGACUGAUCCUCUCACAUUAGGAGGAGCAAAAGGGGGCCUUAGUGCUUGGAACCUGUCCUCCCAGAACUCGAGUGUUGGAUUCACAGCUCCCCAGGUGGCAGUACUUCUAGGUGGGGCCUUUGGGAGAAAGCGAAUCCUUGCCUUGGGGAAGGAAGCAGUCUGUACCAGACACCAAACCUGCCAGUGCCUGAUCUCCACUUCCAGCCUGCAGAUCCUGGAGAAUUAAGUAAAUGUCUGUUGUCUGUAAACUGCUCAGUCUCCGGUCCUGUUCAGCAAGACAGGACUGAGCCUCAUCAGGAGACAUCGCAGCCCACUGCACUGCAGUUCUGUAUGGCUCUCAGCGCUGGGGAUCAGAUCCAGGGUUUUGUGUAUGCAAGUGUUCUACCACUAAGCUAAAUCCCCAGCCCUAGAAUCUUAGAAAUUCUGGGCUGGGGUUGUGGCUCAGUGGUAACCGCUUGCCUGGCAUGCAUGAGGCACUGGGUUCAAUCCCCAACACAGGCCAGCAUGAUGGUGCACACCUGUAAUCCCAGCAGCUCAGGAGGCAAGUUCAAGGGCAGCCUCAGCGAUUUAGCAAGACCCUGAGCAAUUUAGCCAGAUUCAAAAUAAAAAGGGUUGGAGGCAGGGAAGGCCUGGGGCAGUAGCUCAGUGGCAGAGCAUCUGCCUAACACAUGAGAAGCACUGGGUUCCAUCCUCAGCACCCCAUAAAAAUAAAUAAAGGGGCUGGGGCUGUAGCUCAGUGGCAGAGCGCUUGCCUAGCAUGUGUGAGGCCCUGGGUUUGAUUCUCAGCACCACAUAAAAAUAAACAAAU
RNAcentral lists this long non-coding RNA (978 nucleotides) under Marmota monax (woodchuck). The stretch from base 893 to 961 matches the Rfam family "tRNA". Lineage: Eukaryota; Metazoa; Chordata; Mammalia; Rodentia; Sciuridae. The record is from RNAcentral.